RNAcentral lists this transfer RNA (72 nucleotides) under Ictidomys tridecemlineatus (thirteen-lined ground squirrel). Its description in RNAcentral is "Spermophilus tridecemlineatus (thirteen-lined ground squirrel) tRNA". It matches the Rfam family "tRNA". From Rfam's summary of the family: Transfer RNA (tRNA) molecules are approximately 80 nucleotides in length. Their secondary structure includes four short double-helical elements and three loops (D, anti-codon, and T loops). Lineage: Eukaryota; Metazoa; Chordata; Mammalia; Rodentia; Sciuridae. The record is from Rfam by way of RNAcentral.
GGAGAUGUGGCUCAGUGGUAGAGCGCUCACCUAGCAUGUGUGGGGCCCUGAGUUUGAUCCUCACCAACACAU